GAUGAACGCUGGCGGCGUGCUUAACACAUGCAAGUCGAACGGUGAAGCAGGAGCUUGCUCUUGUGGAUCAGUGGCGAACGGGUGAGUAACACGUGAGCAACCUGCCCCUGACUCUGGGAUAAGCGCUGGAAACGGCGUCUAAUACUGGAUAUGUGAUGUGACCGCAUGGUCUGCAUCUGGAAAGAAUUUCGGUUGGGGAUGGGCUCGCGGCCUAGCAGCUUGUUGGUGAGGUAAUGGCUCACCAAGGCGUCGACGGGUAGCCGGCCUGAGAGGGUGACCGGCCACACUGGGACUGAGACACGGCCCAGACUCCUACGGGUGGCAGCAGUUUCGAAUCAUUCACAAUGGGCGAAAGCCUGAUGGUGCGACGCCGCGUGAGGGAUGAAGGUCUUCGGAUUGUAAAAUUCUUUCACCGGGGACGAUAAUGACGGUACCCGGAGAAGAAGCCCCGGCUAACUUCGUGCCAGCAGCCGCCGUAA
Molecule: ribosomal RNA, 479 nt
Filed under: uncultured bacterium
Lineage: Bacteria
Description: partial 16S ribosomal RNA
Rfam family: Bacterial small subunit ribosomal RNA
Source: RNAcentral